UGAGGAAUAUUGGUCAAUGGGCGAGAGCCUGAACCAGCCAAAUCGCGUGAAGGAAGACUGCCUUAUGGGUUGUAAACUUCUUUUAUACAGGAAUAAAAAAGGGGACGUGUCCCUUAUUGCAUGUACUGUAUGAAUAAGCAUCGGCUAACUCCGUGCCAGCAGCCGCGGUAAUACGGAGGAUGCGAGCGUUAUCCGGAUUUAUUGGGUUUAAAGGGUGCGCAGGCGGGCUUUUAAGUCAGCGGUGAAAUCUCGGGGCUUAACUCCGAAACUGCCGUUGAAACUGGGAGUCUUGAGUAUGGAUGAAGUAGGCGGAAUUCGUUGUGUAGCGGUGACAUGCUUAGAUAUAACGAGGAACUCCGAUUGCGUAGGCAGCUUACUAAGCCAUAACUGACGCUCAAGCACGAAAGCGUGGGGAUCAAAACAGGAUUAGAUACCCCUGGUAGUCCACGCCGUAAACGAUGAUUACUAGUUGUAUGCGAUAUACCGUAUGUGACUAAGCGAAAGCGAUAAGUAAUCCACCUGGGGAGUACGCCGGCAACGGUGAAACUCAAAUGAAUUGACGGGGUCAUAGCUG
RNAcentral lists this ribosomal RNA (574 nucleotides) under uncultured bacterium. Its description in RNAcentral is "partial 16S ribosomal RNA". It matches the Rfam family "Bacterial small subunit ribosomal RNA", at positions 355 to 932 of the family's 1533-position model. The record is from RNAcentral.